AUGGUCAGGUUGGCUGAACCACACUUAGAUCUGAUCACUCGUUUGUUAGAUACACUAAAUUCUGGCAUAUUAAUGGUUGGACCUAACCAGAACCUUCAAUGGAGGUGCCACACGCUUGCUGAAUAGGUGUCUAAGGCAAAAUUGAACACUAAAAAUUAUUUGAUGAAAUAAUUGAUUAAGAACCUAUCCGUGGAUACACAAGGGUCGGUCGAGCCAUACUCGGGCCCAUGUGCAGUCUAUGUGGAUUCUAGUACCCACUAAGAAAUUAGUGUAAUUCUUCGAAUUGAAGGUAGAGACUAUCAAUUCGAAUAAACUAGUGAGAGAACCUUUAGACUCAAAUCUAUAUCUUUAAGCUUAAUCAAUUCAUAUACUAAUUAG
RNAcentral lists this long non-coding RNA (378 nucleotides) under Elaeis guineensis (African oil palm). RNAcentral's name for it is "long non-coding RNA (EGUI_LNC080031)". Lineage: Eukaryota; Viridiplantae; Streptophyta; Magnoliopsida; Arecales; Arecaceae. The record is from RNAcentral.